This 947-nucleotide long non-coding RNA is filed under the name Homo sapiens (human). RNAcentral describes it as "endogenous retrovirus group K13 member 1". Lineage: Eukaryota; Metazoa; Chordata; Mammalia; Primates; Hominidae. The record is from RNAcentral.
GGGAGCGGAGCACGGGGUGAUCUGGGCACUAACGCUGAUGGGGAGCAGCGGACAUCAGCCUCGACCUCCCACGAGCGGUGCACGAGCGCCUGACCCAGACCUCGACCCUAGCCUUCACCCCCACCCUGACUCCAGUUCAUGAACUGGUCAAAGGAAGAGCCAUGCCAGCAAACGUCUACACUGUACAUGCUUUUUAUUACAAGACUACGGAGCAUAGGAGGAAAAUUCAUCAUCUGGCAGCCUCAUCUACAACCCUGCAAUUUUGGGCCAGAAGUGGUGGCCCCUCAGAGGCUCUGAAGUGCCUCCAGCCCCGAUUCAGGCACUUGCCACGUGUGCUGCGUAAGAAGGGACCCCACCCAGUGAGUCAACAUAGGCUCAUGUCAAGUUUGAAAAUAACUGGGGAAAAGUGUAUGACAACAUCUUCCAGAACAUAGUACCUUCACCGUAUUCUCACAGCAGCUGCGAUCUCUGAAGUCUCAGCAGUGAGCACCCCGGGUCUGUCAACCAGCCAGGCAAGGGGGGGCCCUCAGGCUUCAGAGGGCAAGAAACCAAAUUCCGUGCAAUUUGGCCAUAAUCUCUGGUAGAGUGAAGCAGCACUGAACGCAGUGCCUAGAAAAACCUCCUGCACGUUCCCCUGCACAAUCAAUGGACCCCAACUACAGUGGAGAAAUGAAGAAUCCAACCAAAUUUGGGUGGUCUGGACUUGCUGCCAGCCAGGCAAUCUGCAACACUGUGGGCAGGGAGAUGGGGGGAGGCGGCCUGAAAUCUACACCAGCUGGGACAACCACGCCCUACAAUGAAAAAGCCAGCCUGGCUGCUGGGCUCUUGUGAACCACUAAGACCUGAAGGUGGGGGGGUGGAAGGGGGAGACAAAUGCACUCUUGUAAAACCCAAUCAGCUACGUGGUUUUUUUCAAGUAGAGGCUUUGCUCUGCUACUGACUCCAAA